RNAcentral lists this small nuclear RNA (106 nucleotides) under Marmota marmota marmota (Alpine marmot). Lineage: Eukaryota; Metazoa; Chordata; Mammalia; Rodentia; Sciuridae. The record is from RNAcentral.
GUGCUUGCUUUGGCAGCACAUAUAUUAAAAUUGGAAUAGUACAGAGAAGAUUAACAUGGCCCCAAGCAAGGAUGACACACAAAUUCAUGAAGUAUUCCAUAUUACA